GACGAACGCUGGCGGCGUGCUUAACACAUGCAAGUCGAACGGUGAAGGGAUCAGCUUGCUGGUUCUGGAUGAGUGGCGAACGGGUGAGUAACACGUGAGUAACCUGCCCCCUUCUUCUGGAUAACCGCAUGAAAGUGUGGCUAAUACGGGAUAUUCUGCGCCUGCUGCAUGGUGGGUGUGGGAAAGAUAUUGUUUCGGUGGGGGAUGGGCUCGCGGCCUAUCAGCUUGUUGGUGGGGUGAUGGCCUACCAAGGCGGUGACGGGUAGCCGGCCUGAGAGGGGGGACGGUCACACGGGGACUGAGACACGGCCCAGACUCCUACGGGAGGCAGCAGUGGGGAAUAUUGCACAAUGGGCGCAAGCCUGAUGCAGCGACGCCGCGUGAGGGAUGGAGGCCUUCGGGUUGUGAACCUCUUUCGCCAGUGAAGCAGGCCUGUCCCUUGUGGGUGGGUUGACGGUAGCUGGAUAAGAAGCGCCGGCUAACUACGUG
RNAcentral lists this ribosomal RNA (489 nucleotides) under uncultured bacterium. RNAcentral describes it as "partial 16S ribosomal RNA". It matches the Rfam family "Bacterial small subunit ribosomal RNA", at positions 28 to 507 of the family's 1533-position model. The record is from RNAcentral.